Molecule: long non-coding RNA, 203 nt
Filed under: Gossypium barbadense (sea-island cotton)
Lineage: Eukaryota; Viridiplantae; Streptophyta; Magnoliopsida; Malvales; Malvaceae
Description: long non-coding RNA (GBAR_LNC009155)
Source: RNAcentral
AAACUUUUGCAUAUUUGCACUUUUGCCCCAAGGUUCAGAAAUUAAACUUCAUCCUAUUUUCUUAUGUUUUAUGACAUGCUGAUCAUUUUUUCCUUCUAUGGCAACAUCAAAUUCUCACUCUAACAUGUACUUAUGACUAUUAGGUAUUUUUACCGAUUAAGCCCUUUUGCUCGUUUUCACUUAAAACCAAGUAGCACAAGUUG